RNAcentral lists this transfer RNA (161 nucleotides) under Candidatus Aenigmatarchaeota archaeon. Its description in RNAcentral is "tRNA-Leu". Lineage: Archaea; Nanobdellati; Candidatus Aenigmatarchaeota. The record is from RNAcentral.
GCGGGGGUUCCCGAGUUGGUCAAGCACGUGACCACCUGGACAAAAGGCCCAAGUGGUCUAGGGCCAAAGGGGCAGGACUUAAGAUCCUGUGGCUUAGUGCCUUCGUGGGUUCGAAUCCAGCCAUCCAGCAACCGCUGGGCUCGAAAUUCCCACCCCCCGCA